AGUGAACGCUGGCGGUAGGCCUAACACAUGCAAGUCGAACGGCAGCACAGUAAGAGCUUGCUCUUACGGGUGGCGAGUGGCGGACGGGUGAGGAAUACAUCGGAAUCUACUUUUUCGUGGGGGAUAACGUAGGGAAACUUACGCUAAUACCGCAUACGACCUACGGGUGAAAGCAGGGGAUCUUCGGACCUUGCGCGAUUGAAUGAGCCGAUGUCGGAUUAGCUAGUUGGCGGGGUAAAGGCCCACCAAGGCGACGAUCCGUAGCUGGUCUGAGAGGAUGAUCAGCCACACUGGAACUGAGACACGGCCCAGACUCCUACGGGAGGAAGCAGUGGGGAAUAUUGGACAAUGGGCGAAAGCCUGAUCCAGCCAUACCGCGUGGGUGAAGAAGGCCUUAGGGUUGUAAAGCCCUUUUGUUGGGAAAGAAAAGCAGCAGGUUAAUCCCCCGCUGUUCUGACGGUACCCAAAGAAUAAGCACCGGCUAACUUCGUG
Molecule: ribosomal RNA, 492 nt
Filed under: uncultured bacterium
Lineage: Bacteria
Description: partial 16S ribosomal RNA
Rfam family: Bacterial small subunit ribosomal RNA
Source: RNAcentral